RNAcentral lists this ribosomal RNA (497 nucleotides) under uncultured bacterium. RNAcentral describes it as "partial 16S ribosomal RNA". It matches the Rfam family "Bacterial small subunit ribosomal RNA", at positions 28 to 507 of the family's 1533-position model. The record is from RNAcentral.
GAUGAACGCUGGCGGCGUGCCUAAUACAUGCAAGUCGAGCGAACAGAUAAGGAGCUUGCUCCUUUGACGUUAGCGGCGGACGGGUGAGUAACACGUGGGUAACCUACCUAUAAGACUGGGAUAACUUCGGGAAACCGGAGCUAAUACCGGAUAAUAUUUCGAACCGCAUGGUUCGAUAGUGAAAGAUGGUUUUGCUAUCACUUAUAGAUGGACCCGCGCCGUAUUAGCUAGUUGGUAAGGUAACGGCUUACCAAGGCGACGAUACGUAGCCGACCUGAGAGGAUGAUCAGCCACACUGGAACUGAGACACGGUCCAGACUCCUACGGGAGGCAGCAGUAGGGAAUCUUCCGCAAUGGGCGAAAGCCUGACGGAGCAACGCCGCGUGAGUGAUGAAGGUCUUCGGAUCGUAAAACUCUGUUAUUAGGGAAGAACAUACGUGUAGGUAACUGUGCACGUCUUGACGGUACCUAAUCAGAAAGCCACGGCUAACUACGUG